This 811-nucleotide ribosomal RNA is filed under the name uncultured Sulfolobales archaeon. Its description in RNAcentral is "bacterial SSU rRNA". It matches the Rfam family "Archaeal small subunit ribosomal RNA", at positions 85 to 879 of the family's 1478-position model. Lineage: Archaea; Thermoproteati; Thermoproteota; Thermoprotei; Sulfolobales. The record is from RNAcentral.
ACKGCUCAGUAACACGUGGCUAACCCACCCUCGGGACGGAGACAACCCCGGGAAACUGGGGCUAAUCCCCGAUAGGCGAAGACUCCUGGAAUGGGUCCUCACCCAAAAGGCGUUGCAGUCAUGCUCUGUAACCUCGCCCGAGGACGGGGCCGCGGCCGAUCAGGUAGUUGGUGAGGCAACGGCUCACCAAGCCUAUAACCGGUACGGGCCGCGGGAGCGGGAGCCCGGAGAUGGGCACUGAGACAAGGGCCCAGGCCCUACGGGGCGCAGCCGUUGCGAAAACCCCGCAAUGCACGAAAGUGUGACGGGGCUACCCCGAGUGCCGUCCGCUGAGGAUGGCUUUUCUCUGCUGUAAGGAGGCGGAGGAAUAAGGCGAGGGCAAGUCUGGUGUCAGCCGCCGCGGUAAUACCAGCUCGCCGAGUGGUAGGGAUGAUUAUUGGGCUUAAAGCGUCCGUAGCCGGCCUUUCAAGUCUCUCGUUAAAUCCAGCGAUUCAAUCGUUGGACUGCGGGAGAUACUGUUUGGCUAGGGGGCGGGAGAAGCCGACGGUAUUCUCAGGGUAGGGGUAAAAUCCUAUAAUCCUGGGAAGACCACCAGUGGCGUAGGCGGUCGGCUAGCACGCGCUCGACGGUGAGGGACGAAAGCUGGGGGAGCGAACCGGAUUAGAUACCCGGGUAGUCCCAGCUGUAAACGAUGCGGGCUAGGUGUUGGAGCGGCUACGAGCCGCUUCAGUGCCGCAGGGAAGCCAUUAAGCCCGCCGCCUGGGGAGUACGGCCGCAAGGCUGAAACUUAAAGGAAUUGGCGGGGGAGCAC